This 2915-nucleotide ribosomal RNA is filed under the name Vibrio parahaemolyticus. Its description in RNAcentral is "bacterial LSU rRNA". It matches the Rfam family "Bacterial large subunit ribosomal RNA". Lineage: Bacteria; Pseudomonadati; Pseudomonadota; Gammaproteobacteria; Vibrionales; Vibrionaceae. The record is from RNAcentral.
GUUGUAUGGUUAAGUGACUAAGCGUACACGGUGGAUGCCUUGGCAGUCAGAGGCGAUGAAAGACGUAGUAACUUGCGAUAAGCCCAGAUUAGGUAGUAACAACCAUUUGAGUCUGGGAUUUCUGAAUGGGGAAACCCACGUGCAUAAGCACGUAUCCUUACCUGAAUACAUAGGGUAAGGAGGCGAACCGGGGGAACUGAAACAUCUAAGUACCCCGAGGAAAAGAAAUCAACCGAGAUUCCGAAAGUAGCGGCGAGCGAAAUUGGACUAGCCCUUAAGCUUUACACACGUUAGACGAACGGUCUGGAAAGUCCGACGAUACAGGGUGAUAGUCCCGUAGUUGACGACGUGUGUUCAGUGAAAUCGAGUAGGGCGGGACACGUGAUAUCCUGUCUGAAUAUGGGGGGACCAUCCUCCAAGGCUAAAUACUACUGACUGACCGAUAGUGAACCAGUACCGUGAGGGAAAGGCGAAAAGAACCCCUGUGAGGGGAGUGAAAUAGAACCUGAAACCGUGUACGUACAAGCAGUAGGAGCAGGCUUGUCCUGUGACUGCGUACCUUUUGUAUAAUGGGUCAGCGACUUAUAUUCAGUGGCAAGGUUAACCAUCUAGGGGAGCCGUAGGGAAACCGAGUCUUAACUGGGCGUUCAGUCUCUGGAUAUAGACCCGAAACCAGGUGAUCUAGCCAUGGGCAGGUUGAAGGUUGAGUAACAUCAACUGGAGGACCGAACCGACUAAUGUUGAAAAAUUAGCGGAUGACUUGUGGCUAGGGGUGAAAGGCCAAUCAAACCUGGAGAUAGCUGGUUCUCCCCGAAAGCUAUUUAGGUAGCGCCUCGGACGAAUACUACUGGGGGUAGAGCACUGUUAAGGCUAGGGGGUCAUCCCGACUUACCAACCCUUUGCAAACUCCGAAUACCAGUAAGUACUAUCCGGGAGACACACGGCGGGUGCUAACGUCCGUCGUGGAGAGGGAAACAACCCAGACCGCCAGCUAAGGUCCCAAAUUACUACUAAGUGGGAAACGAUGUGGGAAGGCUCAGACAGCCAGGAUGUUGGCUUAGAAGCAGCCAUCAUUUAAAGAAAGCGUAAUAGCUCACUGGUCGAGUCGGCCUGCGCGGAAGAUGUAACGGGGCUAAGUAGUAAACCGAAGCUGCGGCAAUGUGCUUUUGCACAUUGGGUAGGGGAGCGUUCUGUAAGCGGUUGAAGGUGUGUGGUAACGCAUGCUGGACGUAUCAGAAGUGCGAAUGCUGACAUGAGUAACGAUAAAGGGGGUGAAAAACCUCCUCGCCGGAAGACCAAGGGUUCCUGUCCAACGUUAAUCGGGGCAGGGUAAGUCGACCCCUAAGGCGAGGCCGAAAGGCGUAGUCGAUGGGAAACGGGUUAAUAUUCCCGUACUUCUUACAAUUGCGAUGGGGGGACGGAGAAGGCUAGGUGGGCCUGGCGACGGUUGUCCAGGUUCAAGUGCGUAGGCUUAAGAGUUAGGUAAAUCCGGCUCUUUUUAAGGCUGAGACACGACGUCGAGCACCUACGGGUGUGAAGUCAUUGAUGCCAUGCUUCCAGGAAAAGCCUCUAAGCUUCAGAUUGUAAGGAAUCGUACCCCAAACCGACACAGGUGGUCGGGUAGAGAAUACCAAGGCGCUUGAGAGAACUCGGGUGAAGGAACUAGGCAAAAUGGUACCGUAACUUCGGGAGAAGGUACGCUCUUGAUGGUGAAGUCCCUUGCGGAUGGAGCUGACGAGAGUCGCAGAUACCAGGUGGCUGCAACUGUUUAUUAAAAACACAGCACUGUGCAAAAUCGUAAGAUGACGUAUACGGUGUGACGCCUGCCCGGUGCCGGAAGGUUAAUUGAUGGGGUUAGACUUCGGUCGAAGCUCUUGAUCGAAGCCCCGGUAAACGGCGGCCGUAACUAUAACGGUCCUAAGGUAGCGAAAUUCCUUGUCGGGUAAGUUCCGACCUGCACGAAUGGCGUAAUGAUGGCCACGCUGUCUCCACCCGAGACUCAGUGAAAUUGAAAUCGCUGUGAAGAUGCAGUGUACCCGCGGCUAGACGGAAAGACCCCGUGAACCUUUACUACAGCUUGGCACUGAACAUUGACCCUACAUGUGUAGGAUAGGUGGGAGGCUUUGAAGCACGUACGCCAGUAUGUGUGGAGCCGUCCUUGAAAUACCACCCUUGUAGUGUUGAUGUUCUAACGUCGACCCCUAAUCGGGGUUGCGGACAGUGCCUGGUGGGUAGUUUGACUGGGGCGGUCUCCUCCCAAAGAGUAACGGAGGAGCACGAAGGUGGGCUAAUCACGGUUGGACAUCGUGAGGUUAGUGCAAUGGCAUAAGCCCGCUUGACUGCGAGAAUGACAAUUCGAGCAGGUGCGAAAGCAGGUCAUAGUGAUCCGGUGGUUCUGAAUGGAAGGGCCAUCGCUCAACGGAUAAAAGGUACUCCGGGGAUAACAGGCUGAUACCGCCCAAGAGUUCAUAUCGACGGCGGUGUUUGGCACCUCGAUGUCGGCUCAUCACAUCCUGGGGCUGAAGUCGGUCCCAAGGGUAUGGCUGUUCGCCAUUUAAAGUGGUACGCGAGCUGGGUUUAGAACGUCGUGAGACAGUUCGGUCCCUAUCUGCCGUGGGCGUUGGAAGAUUGAAGGGGGCUGCUCCUAGUACGAGAGGACCGGAGUGGACGAACCUCUGGUGUUCGGGUUGUGUCGCCAGACGCAUUGCCCGGUAGCUAAGUUCGGAAUCGAUAACCGCUGAAAGCAUCUAAGCGGGAAGCGAGCCCUGAGAUGAGUCUUCCCUGAUACUUUAAGUAUCCUAAAGGGUUGUCGGAGACUACGACGUUGAUAGGUCAGGUGUGUAAGUGCUGUGAGGCAUUGAGCUAACUGAUACUAAUUGCCCGUGAGGCUUAACCAUACAACACCCAAGGGGUUU